RNAcentral lists this ribosomal RNA (253 nucleotides) under uncultured bacterium. RNAcentral describes it as "partial 16S ribosomal RNA". It matches the Rfam family "Bacterial small subunit ribosomal RNA", at positions 524 to 776 of the family's 1533-position model. The record is from RNAcentral.
UACGUAGGUGGCAAGCGUUAUCCGGAAUUAUUGGGCGUAAAGCGCGCGUAGGCGGUUUCUUAAGUCUGAUGUGAAAGCCCACGGCUCAACCGUGGAGGGUCAUUGGAAACUGGGAAACUUGAGUGCAGAAGAGGAAAGUGGAAUUCCAUGUGUAGCGGUGAAAUGCGCAGAGAUAUGGAGGAACACCAGUGGCGAAGGCGACUUUCUGGUCUGUAACUGACGCUGAUGUGCGAAAGCGUGGGGAUCAGACAGG